This 71-nucleotide transfer RNA is filed under the name Anilios australis (Southern blind snake). Its description in RNAcentral is "transfer RNA-Gln". Lineage: Eukaryota; Metazoa; Chordata; Lepidosauria; Squamata; Typhlopidae. The record is from RNAcentral.
UAAGAGGUAGUAUAGGAGGUAGUACUGGAAGUUUUGAGCUUCCUGGGUUAGGUUCAAAACCUAAGCUCUUA